This 424-nucleotide ribosomal RNA is filed under the name uncultured bacterium. Its description in RNAcentral is "bacterial SSU rRNA". It matches the Rfam family "Bacterial small subunit ribosomal RNA", at positions 356 to 773 of the family's 1533-position model. The record is from RNAcentral.
GGGGAAUCUUGCGCAAUGGGCGAAAGCCUGACGCAGCGACGCCGCGUGAGUGAUGAAGGCCUUCGGGUUGUAAAGCUCUGUGGAGAGGGACGAAUAAGUCGGAACGAACAGCUCCGAUGAUGACGGUACCUCUUUAGCAAGCACCGGCUAACUCUUUGCCAGCAGCCGCGGUAAGACAGAGGGUGCAAACGUUGUUCGGAAUUACUGGGCGUAAAGCGCGUGUAGGCUGCUUCGCAAGUCGGGUGUGAAAGCCCUGGGCUCAACCUAGGAAGUGCACUCGAAACUGCGGAGCUCGAGUCUCGGAGAGGAUCGCGGAAUUCUCGGUGUAGAGGUGAAAUUCGUAGAUAUCGAGAGGAACACCGGUGGCGAAGGCGGCGAUCUGGACGAUGACUGACGCUGAGACGCGAAAGCGUGGGGAGCAAAC